UAGUACUUGAAAAAUUUCGGACUCUUUGGAUGGAUUUGUAAUGGAUUUGAAAACAUUUCGGACUUGAAAUGUGUUGGACUAUAAAUGUGGUGCUGUGUAUAUGUAUGGAUCUGUAUGUUGUGAAUCUGUGAUGUUGAGAAUCUGAUUAUAUAUGUAUAUAUGCUGUGUUGUGCUGUGCUGUCAACUCGAUUAUUGUAAUUUUUAUUUUUUUUCUGAAAAAUAGCUGUAGGGGCGGUU
This 237-nucleotide long non-coding RNA is filed under the name Sorghum bicolor (sorghum). RNAcentral describes it as "long non-coding RNA (SBIC_LNC003264)". Lineage: Eukaryota; Viridiplantae; Streptophyta; Magnoliopsida; Poales; Poaceae. The record is from RNAcentral.